RNAcentral lists this ribosomal RNA (775 nucleotides) under uncultured Neocallimastigales. RNAcentral describes it as "partial large subunit ribosomal RNA". It matches the Rfam family "Eukaryotic large subunit ribosomal RNA", at positions 23 to 616 of the family's 3401-position model. Lineage: Eukaryota; Fungi; Neocallimastigomycota; Neocallimastigomycetes; Neocallimastigales. The record is from RNAcentral.
ACACGCAUGACACACUGCAUAUCAAUAAGCGGAGGAAAAGAAACUAACAAGGAUUCCCUUAGUAACGGCGAGUGAAGCGGGAAGAGCUCAAAUUUGAAAUCUUAAAGGGUUUCCCUUUACGAAUUGUAGUUUAAAGAAGUGUUUUCUGUUGGAGUUUCGGUAAAAGUUCUUUGGAAUAGGACAUCACUAGAGGGUGAGAAUCCCGUAUUUGACCAUUAUUUUCAGCUGUGUGAUACACUUUCAAAGAGUCGGAUUGUUUGGGAAUGCAGUCCAAAAUGGGUGGUAAAUUUCAUCUAAAGCUAAAUAUUGGCGAGAGACCGAUAGCGAACAAGUACCGUGAGGGAAAGAUGAAAAGAACUUUGAAAAGAGAGUUAAACAGUACGUGAAAUUGUCAAAAGGGAAGCGUUUGACACCAGUGUUGUUUUCUCGAAAAUCAAUUAAAAAAGGCCGGAUUUUGUGUUGUAUUGACCUUAAAAGCUUUCUUCACUCUUUUCUUGUCUUUUUUAAUGCACUUUUCGUUUAACAAGUCAACAUCAGUUUCUUUUGUUGUAAAAGGGUAUGAGGAAGGUGGCUUUCUUUUCGGAGAAAGUGUUUAUAGCCUUUGAUCCCUGCAAUCGGAGAGACUGAGGUCUGCAGCGUAGAUCCUUCGGGGUUAGAUACAUUUGUGCUAAGUUAUAGCUUUUUAUAGACAACUUGUUGACUAUAUUUAGUCUUGUAGCUUACUCGCUUAUGCUAUUUUACCUACGCUUAGGAUGUUGAGCGCAUGUCUCUCUCU